RNAcentral lists this unclassified non-coding RNA (273 nucleotides) under Zea mays. Its description in RNAcentral is "misc RNA Zm00001eb438220". The record is from RNAcentral. Lineage: Eukaryota; Viridiplantae; Streptophyta; Magnoliopsida; Poales; Poaceae.
AUGCUCGAGCUGCUCGCGGCGGCGAGAGCGGGGCCGCCGCGUGCCGGCCGGGGGACGGACCGGGAACGGCCCCCUCGGGGGCCUUCCCCGGGCGUCGAACAACCGACUCAGAACUGAAUCCAAGCUAGCAACCGGCGCCUCUGCUCGCCGCCCGCCCCGACCCACGUUAGGGCGUUCGCGCCCCCAAGGGCCCGUGCCAUUGGCUCAGCCCGCCCGGCCGACGCGCCGCGGCGGGCCGCCUCGAAGCUCCCUUCCCAACGGGCGGCGUGCUGA